Molecule: ribosomal RNA, 542 nt
Filed under: uncultured bacterium
Lineage: Bacteria
Description: bacterial SSU rRNA
Rfam family: Bacterial small subunit ribosomal RNA
Source: RNAcentral
ACCAACCUCGCGGACGGGCAUAGCCGGGGGAAACCCCGGGUAAUUCCCGGCGACGCGGCGAACCGGCAUCGGUUUGCCGCCAAAGGCUUCGGCCGCCGCGAGACGGGCCGUCGUGGUAUUAGGUGGUUGGCGGGGUGACGGCCCACCAAGCCUGCGAUGCCUACCGGGUGUGAGAGCAUGGCCCGGCACACUGGGACUGAGACACUGCCCAGACUCCUACGGGAGGCUGCAGUCGAGAAUCUUCGGCAAUGGGCGCAAGCCUGACCGAGCGACGCCGCGUGGAGGACGAAGGCCUUCGGGUUGUAAACUCCUGUCGAGGGGGAGGAAGGCGCAAGCUUGACCGAUCCCUGGAGGAAGCACGGGCUAAGUUCGUGCCAGCAGCCGCGGUAAGACGAACCGUGCGAACGUUAUUCGGAAUUACUGGGCUUAAAGCGCGUGUAGGCGGGCCGGCACGUCCGACGCUGAAAUCCCCCGGCUCAACCGGGGAAGUGGCGGGGAUACGACCGGCCUCGAGGGGGGUAGGGGGACCUGGAACUUCCGGU